CUCAGUUCCCUAGAAAAAAAGAAAAAUCUGAAUCUGUAUGUUGCUUUAUUUUACUUCUAUAUAUGUAUGUUGCUUUAUUUUACUUCUAUAUCUGUAUGUUUCUUUAUUUUAUUUCUUUUUUGGUUUCAUCUUUUAGAGUUAAAUGUAAAGAUUGAAAAAUUUCUUUUGCGUUCUAUUCUCUGUUCUUUUUCAUCACUAUGUGAUUGAAUUCUAUUCAUUUGUUUGUUUUCAUCAUUAUGCAAUUGAAUUAGUUUUACUUCAUCUUUAGGUAAAGAUGUCAAUGGAAAGUAUUGAUGAUUCUUGUGAACAAAGCUCUUCAACUACGCUAAAACGAGUAAAAAGACAAACGUCUACUGUUUGGGAUUCUUUUGUUAAGGUAGAAGAGCCUAGUAUUCAUAGUGAUGGAAAGUUUAAAGUCAAAUGUACUCUUUGUGAAAAAGACUAUAUGUACGAUUCUAAAUUUGGAACAUCGAAUUUGAAGUGUCAUUUGCUGAUAAAACAUCCACUGGAUAAUGCAAAAGAGGGACAAAGUGCACCAAUAGAUCAAAAAAUUUAUCGAGAGAAAAUGUCAUUGGCCAUAGUCAGGCAUAACUAUGCUUUCAGUUUUGUAGAACAUAAAGGCAUCAGGGACCUUCAUUUAUACUUAAAUCCCGUUGGCAAGCACAUAUCAAGAAACACAACCAAGUCAGAUAUCUUGAAUAUGUAUGCAGGCGAAAAAGAGUAAACCUUCAUUUAUACUUAAAUCCUGUUGUCAAGCACAUAUCAAGAAACACAGCCAAGUCAGAUAUCUUGAAUAUGUAUGCGGGCGAAAAAGAACUUUUGAAAAGUGAGCUUGCAGUUAUUCCUAGUAGAGUAUAUUUAACCUCAGACAUGUGGACUUCAUUAACAUCUAAUGGGUAUAUGUGUGUUACGGCCCAUUAUGUAGAUUUAAAUUGGGUUCUUCAGAAGAGGGUGUUGAUUUUUCGUCAUGUUCCUCCUCCACAUUCGGGCGCGGUUUUAGGUCCCUUAUUGAUUAGCUUUCUUAAAGAAUGGGGAAUCGAAAAGAAAAUCUUCACCCUUACUAUGGAUAAUGCUACUUGCAAUAAUGGUGUAGUGGAUAAUUUAAAGAAUCAUUUGUCUUUGAUGUGUUCACUAGUUUGCGAGGGAAAGUAUCUUCAUGUCCAUUGUGGGAAUCAUGUUUUGAACUUAAUUGUUAAGACGGGCUUAGAGAAGGCUGAUGCAGCUAUUGCAAAAAAGUAGAGGUGUUAAGUAUAUCAAGAAUUCAGAAACAAGAAUAAUGAAAUUUGUGGAGUGUCUGAGUAAUCUUGGUCUACCAUGUUCUAAGAAGCUACGCCAAGAUAUGCCUAUUAGGUGGAUUACACUUAUCAAAUGCUUGAAAGUGCUCUUCAAUAUCAGGAAGCUUAAAUUCACUAUAACUUGCUUGACAUUGAUUUUAAACACGGGCUUUCUGAAGAUGAAUGGAAAAGGGAUCUUCAAUAUCGGGAAGCUUACAUUCACAAUAACUUGAUUGACAUUGAUUUUAAACACGGACUUUCUGAAGAUGAAUGGAAAAGGGUCGAGUUUAUAGCUAAGUUUCUUAAACCAUUUUAUGACAUUACGACUUUUUUUCUGGAUGUAAGUAUCCCACGGCUAAUUUGUAUCUUCCUAAUGUAUGGAGAAUUGAAAUAUUGUUGGAAGAAAAAAAAUAGUAGAGAUUCAGUGAUGAGUGAGAUGGACACUUCAAUGUUGGUGAAGUUUAAGAAAUAUUGGGAGUCAUAUAGUGUCAUUUUAUCUAUAGCUAUUGUCCUGGACCCUCGAUACAAUUUGAAGUUUGUGAAGUUUGCUUUUUAAAGCUUCAUCCCGAGGAGAUUGCUAAUGAAAAAGUAAAGGUUAUUGAACAUAACCUACAAUUGUUGUUCAAAGAGUACUUAAUACCUUCGACUAUAGCCUCAUUAUUAGGGGAUCAUGCUUGUAGCAGUGGUAGAAAUGAA
This 1970-nucleotide long non-coding RNA is filed under the name Nicotiana benthamiana. Its description in RNAcentral is "long non-coding RNA (NBEN_LNC024448)". The record is from RNAcentral. Lineage: Eukaryota; Viridiplantae; Streptophyta; Magnoliopsida; Solanales; Solanaceae.